This 434-nucleotide ribosomal RNA is filed under the name uncultured Lachnospiraceae bacterium. RNAcentral's name for it is "partial 16S ribosomal RNA". It matches the Rfam family "Bacterial small subunit ribosomal RNA", at positions 341 to 792 of the family's 1533-position model. The record is from RNAcentral. Lineage: Bacteria; Bacillati; Bacillota; Clostridia; Lachnospirales; Lachnospiraceae.
ACGGAAGGCAGCAGUGGGGAAUAUUGCACAAUGGGGGGAACCCUGAUGCAGCGACGCCGCGUGAGUGAAGAAGUAUCUCGGUAUGUAAAGCUCUAUCAGCAGGGAAGAAAAUGACGGUACCUGACUAAGAAGCCCCGGCUAACUACGUGCCAGCAGCCGCGGUAAUACGUAGGGGGCAAGCGUUAUCCGGAUUUACUGGGUGUAAAGGGAGCGUAGACGGUCUGGCAAGUCUGAUGUGAAAGGCAGGGGCUCAACUCCUGGACUGCAUUGGAAACUGUCGGACUGGAGUGCCGGAGAGGUAAGCGGAAUUCCUAGUGUAGCGGUGAAAUGCGUAGAUAUUAGGAGGAACACCAGUGGCGAAGGCGGCUUACUGGACGGUAACUGACGUUGAGGCUCGAAAGCGUGGGGAGCAAACAGGAUUAGAUACCCUGGUA